Long non-coding RNA from Vidua chalybeata, 540 nucleotides. RefSeq lists it as uncharacterized. The transcript has 2 exons. NCBI's taxonomy places the organism in Eukaryota, Metazoa, Chordata, Aves, Passeriformes, Viduidae. The record is from RefSeq and is a predicted model, not a curated record.
AGGGACAUGGGACAGAAGCAUGAGUGGAGGGAAGCAGAGCUGGGCUAAACACGGCAUCAGGCUUUAAUAAACCAAUCCUGGCUCCUGAGAGCAAGGCCGGGAGCUCUGCUGGGUCACCAAUCCAGGGCUGCAGCUCAGCCACCAGCCCUCAGCAUUUUCCUCAAUAGCUUCCCUACUCCCACACACAAAAGCCCCUUUCUUCCAGUACACACACAGCUCUGCACCACACUUCUGCUUCCCAAAGCAGCACAGCCCCUGCUGGAACAGCCUGGGCAGAGGUGCUGGCUGUCAGACCAAAACCUUGCCCAGGACAAAACAGUCCUGAGAAGGAACACGUGCGCCAGCACAACCAAAUCAACCAGAAUUAAGAUGACUCCAGAAAGGGUCUGGGACCAGGAAAAAAACAUCUCCAUGAGGUAAGAGACUUGAAAAAAUGAAAGAGAAGAACAGAAGCUGGGCAUAGUGUGCUGACCACAGCCUGGGGUACACUCACGGGAGUCUUGCUGAUGGACAAUAAAAAACAAAUAAAGAAAAUUUUAA